RNAcentral lists this long non-coding RNA (702 nucleotides) under Equus caballus (horse). Its description in RNAcentral is "lncRNA (ENSECAG00000045020.1)". The record is from RNAcentral. Lineage: Eukaryota; Metazoa; Chordata; Mammalia; Perissodactyla; Equidae.
UUGGGAUCGAUCCAAGAGGGAGGCUAACGUCUACAGCUUAUCAUUUCCAGUCAGUGGUUGUUAAUUUUCUUCAGAUCAUGACUAUGUGAUUUGUGGACUGAAGAGCUAGCCGCAAAGUUCGAACUUCCUGCAAUUACUGAACUGAACUGAACCAUGGUAACUGAAAGGUGAACUGAGAUGUUGGAGGACUGGGUUAUUUAACUAAACCAUGGUAACUGGAAAUCGUGCAUGUCAGAACCAUGCAAAGUGAGGCCUGUGUGUACAUGAUGCAGUUCAGCACUGGUAUCCAACGGAACCUAAACACAAUGGAGAUUUGAUAUCUACCACCAUCCAUUAAAACAGGCAUUAAUGACCCAGCCAUACCACUGCUAGACAUCGGCGAGAAAGCAGAGAAGUUGUCCACAAGAUGUGAACAAGAAUAUUCACAGCAACUGUAUCCAUAAUAACCAAAGCCUGAAGAAAAACCAAUCGUUCCUUAGUGGUUAAAUAAAUUAUGGUACAUACAUACAUACGCUGGGAUAUUAUACAGCAGUGGUUCUCAAAGUUUUUGGUCUCAGGACCCCUUUAUACUCUUAAAACUUAAUGAGGACACCAAAGAGUUUUUGAUCUAUUUGGGCAUUUCUUUCAAUAUUUGUCAUAUUAAAAACUAAGACUGAGGGAUUUUUAAAAUUUUUAUUAAUUCAUUUUAAAAAUAACAAUAAC